GACGUAGGGCGCGAGCGUUGUCCGGAUUUAUUGGGCGUAAAGAGCUCGUAGGCGGUUUGUCGCGUCUGCCGUGAAAGUCCGGGGCUCAACUCCGGAUCUGCGGUGGGUACGGGCAGACUAGAGUGAUGUAGGGGAGACUGGAAUUCCUGGUGUAGCGGUGAAAUGCGCAGAUAUCAGGAGGAACACCAGUGGCGAAGGCGACUUCCUGGCCUGUUCUUGACGCUGAGGCGCGAAAGCUAGGGGAGCAAACGGG
Molecule: ribosomal RNA, 253 nt
Filed under: uncultured bacterium
Lineage: Bacteria
Description: partial 16S ribosomal RNA
Rfam family: Bacterial small subunit ribosomal RNA
Source: RNAcentral